CAUACAAGUGGUAGAGAAGCGAAAGCGGAUCGACCCUUCGGGAGCUUGUACAGGUGCUGCAUGGCUGUCGUCAGCUCGUGUCGUGAGAUGUUCGGUUAAGUCCGCUAACGAGCGCAACCCUCGCUGUGUGUUACAAGUGUCACACGGAACUGCCGGUCAUAAACCGGAGGAAGUGGGAUGACGUCAAGUCAGCAUGGCCUUUAUAUCCUGGGCUACACACACGCUACAAUGGGAAGGGACAAUAGGUUGCGAAGCCGCGAGGUGGAGCCAAUCCAGCAAAACUUCCCUCAGUUCAGAUUGCAGGCUGCAACUCGCCUGCAUGAAGUUGGAGUUGCUAGUAAACGCAGGUCAGCCAUACUGCGUUGAAUACGUUCCCGGGGCUU
RNAcentral lists this ribosomal RNA (383 nucleotides) under uncultured Anaerolineaceae bacterium. RNAcentral's name for it is "bacterial SSU rRNA". It matches the Rfam family "Bacterial small subunit ribosomal RNA", at positions 985 to 1382 of the family's 1533-position model. The record is from RNAcentral. Lineage: Bacteria; Bacillati; Chloroflexota; Anaerolineae; Anaerolineales; Anaerolineaceae.